RNAcentral lists this transfer RNA (72 nucleotides) under Candidatus Aenigmarchaeota archaeon ex4484_56. RNAcentral describes it as "tRNA-Gln". It matches the Rfam family "tRNA". Rfam says of the family: Transfer RNA (tRNA) molecules are approximately 80 nucleotides in length. Their secondary structure includes four short double-helical elements and three loops (D, anti-codon, and T loops). Lineage: Archaea; Nanobdellati; Candidatus Aenigmatarchaeota. The record is from RNAcentral.
GGGCUCGUAGUCGAGACCUCAACAUUUGCUGUUUGAAGGCAGAGAUCGGGAGUUCAAAUCUCUCCGAGCCCA